GACGAACGCUGGCGGCGUGCCUAAUACAUGCAAGUCGAGCGAAGUUUUUCUGGUGCUUGCCCUAGAAAAACUUAGCGGCGAACGGGUGAGUAACACGUAAAGAGCCUGCCUCAUAGACUGGGACAACUAUUGGAAACGAUAGCUAAUACCGGAUAACAGUAUUUCUCGCAUGAGAGAUAUUUAAAAGUUGGUUAUGCUAACACUAUGAGAUUGCUUUGCGGUGCAUUAGCUAGUUGGUGGGGUAAAGGCCCACCAAGGCGACGAUGCAUAGCCGACCUGAGAGGGUGAUCGGCCACACUGGGACUGAGACACGGCCCAGACUCCUACGGGAGGCAGCAGUAGGGAAUCUUCCGCAAUGGGCGAAAGCCUGACGGAGCAACGCCGCGUGAGUGAAGAAGGAUUUCGGUUCGUAAAGCUCUGUUGUUAGGGAAGAAUGGAUAUGUAGUAACUAUACAUGUAAGAGACGGUACCUAACCAGAAAGCCACGGCUAACUACGUG
This 499-nucleotide ribosomal RNA is filed under the name uncultured bacterium. RNAcentral's name for it is "partial 16S ribosomal RNA". It matches the Rfam family "Bacterial small subunit ribosomal RNA", at positions 28 to 507 of the family's 1533-position model. The record is from RNAcentral.